Molecule: unclassified non-coding RNA, 253 nt
Filed under: uncultured Bacteroidota bacterium
Lineage: Bacteria; Pseudomonadati; Bacteroidota
Description: uncultured Bacteroidetes bacterium contains 16S-23S intergenic spacer region
Rfam family: Bacterial small subunit ribosomal RNA
Source: RNAcentral
UACGGAGGGUGCAAGCGUUGUCAGGAAUCAUUGGGUGUAAAGGGUGCGUAGGCGGGAGUCUAAGUCUGUGGUGAAAUCUUGCCGCUUAACGGUAAAAUUGCCAUAGAUACUGGAUUUCUUGAGUACAGAAGAGGCCGGUGGAAUUCGUAGUGUUGCGGUGAAAUGCAUAGAUAUUACGAAGAACACCAGUGGCGAAGGCGGCCGGCUGGACUGUAACUGACGCUGAGGCACGAAAGCGUGGGGAGCGAACAGG